UCAGUUCGGAUUGUAGUCUGCAACUCGACUACAUGAAGCUGGAAUCGUUAGUAAUCGCGAAUCAGAAUGUCGCGGUGAAUACGUUCCCGGGUCUUGUACACACCGCCCGUCACACCAUGGGAGUUGGGAAUGCCCGAAGCCGGUGACCUAACCGAAAGGGAGGAGCCGUCGAAGGCAGGCUUGAUAACUGGGGUGAAGUCGUAACAAGGUAUC
This 213-nucleotide ribosomal RNA is filed under the name uncultured bacterium. RNAcentral describes it as "partial 16S ribosomal RNA". It matches the Rfam family "Bacterial small subunit ribosomal RNA", at positions 1288 to 1500 of the family's 1533-position model. The record is from RNAcentral.